Molecule: ribosomal RNA, 462 nt
Filed under: uncultured bacterium
Lineage: Bacteria
Description: partial 16S ribosomal RNA
Rfam family: Bacterial small subunit ribosomal RNA
Source: RNAcentral
GACGAACGCUGGCGGCGUGCUUAACACAUGCAAGUCGAGCGGUAAGGCCUUUCGGGGUACACGAGCGGCGAACGGGUGAGUAACACGUGGGUGAUCUGCCCUGCACUUCGGGAUAAGCCUGGGAAACUGGGUCUAAUACCGGAUAUGACCUCCUAUCGCAUGGUGGGUGGUGGAAAGAUUUAUCGGUGCAGGAUGGGCCCGCGGCCUUUCAGCUUGUUGGUGGGGUAAUGGCCUACCAAGGCGACGACGGGUAGCCGACCUGAGAGGGUGACCGGCCACACUGGGACUGAGACACGGCCCAGACUCCUACGGGAGGCAGCAGUGGGGAAUAUUGCACAAUGGGCGAAAGCCUGAUGCAGCGACGCCGCGUGAGGGAUGACGGCCUUCGGGUUGUAAACCUCUUUCAGCAGGGACGAAGCGCAAGUGACGGUACCUGCAGAAGAAGCACCGGCUAACUACGUG